ACAAGGCUAAAAUAUGUCAACCAUUUAUGGAGUUGAGUAGUUUAGGACAUCUGUCGUGUCAAGAAGAGUCUUAAGAAUUUAGCAUCCAAAUGGCCAUCCCAAGAAUUUGGAGUUCUUGUUAUGCCCCAGACCCCAUAUUUAAAUAUCGAGGUCGUGAGCAGCUGCUAUAUAUUUUUAAAAAAUUAUCUCUAUACAUAUUAUUGCUGUGAGGCUCAAAAUCUCAAAUAGAG
RNAcentral lists this long non-coding RNA (230 nucleotides) under Elaeis guineensis (African oil palm). RNAcentral's name for it is "long non-coding RNA (EGUI_LNC029838)". The record is from RNAcentral. Lineage: Eukaryota; Viridiplantae; Streptophyta; Magnoliopsida; Arecales; Arecaceae.